RNAcentral lists this ribosomal RNA (466 nucleotides) under uncultured bacterium. RNAcentral's name for it is "bacterial SSU rRNA". It matches the Rfam family "Bacterial small subunit ribosomal RNA", at positions 335 to 798 of the family's 1533-position model. The record is from RNAcentral.
ACUCCUACGGGAGGCAGCAGUGAGGAAUAUUGGACAAUGGAGGCAACUCUGAUCCAGCCAUGCCGCGUGCAGGAAGACGGCCCUACGGGUUGUAAACUGCUUUUAUACGGGAAGAACCCUUCCUACGAGUAGGGAGUUGACGGUACCGUAAGAAUAAGCAUCGGCUAACUCCGUGCCAGCAGCCGCGGUAAUACGGAGGAUGCAAGCGUUAUCCGGAAUCAUUGGGUUUAAAGGGUCCGCAGGCGGACUGGUAAGUCAGUGGUGAAAUCCCAUCGCUUAACGAUGGAACUGCCAUUGAUACUGUCAGUCUUGAAUUACUGUGAAGUGGUUGGAAUGAGUAGUGUAGCGGUGAAAUGCAUAGAUAUUACUCAGAACACCUAUUGCGAAGGCAGAUCACUAACAGUAUAUUGACGCUGAUGGACGAAAGCGUGGGGAGCAAACAGGAUUAGAUACCCUGGUAGGAUAG